This 253-nucleotide ribosomal RNA is filed under the name uncultured bacterium. RNAcentral's name for it is "partial 16S ribosomal RNA". It matches the Rfam family "Bacterial small subunit ribosomal RNA", at positions 524 to 776 of the family's 1533-position model. The record is from RNAcentral.
GACGUAGGGCGCGAGCGUUGUCCGGAUUUAUUGGGCGUAAAGAGCUCGUAGGCGGCUUGUCGCGUCGUUCGUGAAAACCUGCAGCUCAACUGCAGGCUUGCGGUCGAUACGGGCAGGCUAGAGUUCGGUAGGGGAGACUGGAAUUCCCGGUGUAGCGGUGAAAUGCGCAGAUAUCGGGAAGAACACCCGUGGCGAAGGCGGCUCUCUGGGACGGUACUGACGCUGAGACGCGAAAGCGUGGGGAGCGAACAGG